RNAcentral lists this ribosomal RNA (225 nucleotides) under uncultured bacterium. RNAcentral describes it as "partial 16S ribosomal RNA". It matches the Rfam family "Bacterial small subunit ribosomal RNA", at positions 116 to 334 of the family's 1533-position model. The record is from RNAcentral.
CGUGGGCAAUCUGUCCUAAAGUGGGGGAUAGCUCGGCGAAAGCCGAAUUAAUACCGCAUGUGAUUACCGGAGACAUCUUCGGAACAUCAAAGGUGGCGCAAGCUACCGCUUUUUGAGGAGCCCGCGGCCUAUCAGCUAGUUGGUGGGGUAAAGGCUCACCAAGGCAGAGAUCGGUAGCCGGCCUGAGAGGGCACACGGCCACACUGGCACUGAAACACGGGCCAG